RNAcentral lists this ribosomal RNA (450 nucleotides) under uncultured bacterium. RNAcentral's name for it is "partial 16S ribosomal RNA". It matches the Rfam family "Bacterial small subunit ribosomal RNA", at positions 354 to 796 of the family's 1533-position model. The record is from RNAcentral.
GUGGGGAAUAUUGGACAAUGGGCGCAAGCCUGAUCCAGCCAUGCCGCGUGUGUGAAGAAGGCCUUCGGGUUGUAAAGCACUUUUGUUGGGAAAGAAAUCCUGUCGGCUAAUACCCGGCGGGGAUGACGGUACCCAAAGAAUAAGCACCGGCUAACUUCGUGCCAGCAGCCGCGGUAAUACGAAGGGUGCAAGCGUUACUCGGAAUUACUGGGCGUAAAGCGUGCGUAGGUGGUGGUUUAAGUCUGCUGUGAAAGCCCUGGGCUCAACCUGGGAAUUGCAGUGGAUACUGGAUCACUAGAGUGUGGUAGAGGGAUGCGGAAUUUCUGGUGUAGCAGUGAAAUGCGUAGAGAUCAGAAGGAACAUCCGUGGCGAAGGCGGCAUCCUGGGCCAACACUGACACUGAGGCACGAAAGCGUGGGGAGCAAACAGGAUUAGAAACCCCUGUAGUCC